UACGGAGGGGGCAAGCGUUGUCCGGAUUUAUUGGGCGUAAAGAGCGCGUAGGCGGUCAGGCAGGUCAGCUGUGAAAACUCGAGGCUCAACCUCGAGAUGUCGGCUGAAACCAUCUGGCUAGAGUCCGGAAGAGGAGAAUGGAAUUCCCGGUGUAGCGGUGAAAUGCGCAGAUAUCGGGAAGAACACCCGUGGCGAAGGCGGUUCUCUGGGACGGUACUGACGCUGAGACGCGAAAGCGUGGGGAGCGAACAGG
This 253-nucleotide ribosomal RNA is filed under the name uncultured bacterium. RNAcentral's name for it is "partial 16S ribosomal RNA". It matches the Rfam family "Bacterial small subunit ribosomal RNA", at positions 524 to 776 of the family's 1533-position model. The record is from RNAcentral.